RNAcentral lists this transfer RNA (73 nucleotides) under Methanobrevibacter sp. RNAcentral's name for it is "tRNA-Arg". It matches the Rfam family "tRNA". Rfam says of the family: Transfer RNA (tRNA) molecules are approximately 80 nucleotides in length. Their secondary structure includes four short double-helical elements and three loops (D, anti-codon, and T loops). The record is from RNAcentral. Lineage: Archaea; Methanobacteriati; Methanobacteriota; Methanobacteria; Methanobacteriales; Methanobacteriaceae.
GCUCCCGUAGGCUAAUUGGAUAAACCACUAGGCUACGAACCUGGUAUUCCUGGUUCAAGUCCAGGCGGGAGUA